CAGAUUAAACUUUCAAAAUUUAAUUCAAAGGGGGGCAAAAUUUCAGCUGCUGAAAAUCCUGAGAAUCAGCAGCGUACAAAUGCGAUUUAGAACCUCCAGUCAUUAGUAACUAUUAAUAAUACAUGUGAAGAAAAGGAGAGUGACUGCAUGUCAAGACUAAGUCUGGGAUUUCUUGACAUGACUUAUGUAUGUAAAUGGAAUAGUUAUUUAUAGCUGCAGUAAUAGAAAAAAAUAGUUCUGGAAAUAAUUCACAAACAGAAAGGAGUAAAUUGUGAGUUGAAUGUCACUCAACUAAACCCCCUAGCACUGCUGAUUUCUGAGAGGUAGGGCAGAAGCUGUAUUAGGUGUGUAUUACUUUAAAAAAGAAACUUUUAAACUUAGAAUAGUCAAGGCAUUUUCUGAGUGAAUAGAAGGAAGCUGCAAAGAGCUGAAGAUUUCUCUCGUGGAGAUGAAAUCCACUUGCAGCAACACAGAAAACAAGGUAUUCUCAUUAGAUAUAUAUACUUAGGAGACAAUGCUAACAGCAAUUCCAGCUCUCCACAGGUAUCAACCACAAACAUGGUUUUGACAUUGCAAUUCCCCAAGUGGCUAUAUGCAUGCUGACCAAGCCAAUUAAAAACACAACUGUUAGCAAAAGUAAAAAAAAAAAAAAAAAAAAAAAAAAAAAAAAAACCACAAAACCAAAAAAGCCAGAAACCAAAAAACCCAAUCAAACCACCAAUUGAAACCACGAGUCUUGCACUGUCUGCAGAGAGAAAAAUUUCCAUACCAAGUUUCAUAUGCUGAACCUCCUGGAAAGUUCUAUGAUCAGGUAUUCACCAGAUUUUUUUAAUCUGGUGAAUCUCAUUACUUUUAAUUAUACUAACUCUUCAAAUACAGGGUUAAAGUAAUAUUAAAGUCACCUUAAAUUCAUAAACACCAGACAAUUCCAUUUAGGCAAGAUACAGCCAUUACAACAUCGCAUAAAAGAGAAAAGCACAUGUAUAUGUAUUUUUCACAUGGGCAUGUAGGGACAGGACAAGGGGGAAUGGCUUUAAACCGACAGAGGGAGAUUUAGAUUAGAUUUUAGGAAGAAGUUCUUCCCUGUGAGGGUGGUGAGGCUCUAGCACAGGUUGUCCAGAGAAGCUGUGGCUGCCCCAUCCCUGGCAGUGUUCAAGGCCAGGUUGGACAGGGCUUUGAGCAACCCAGUCCAAUGGAAGAUGUCCCUGAAAUCUGAUGAUCUUUAAUGUCCCUUUCAACCCAAACCAUUCUCGGAUUCUAUAUAAUACAUAUGAGUCUGGUAUAGAAUAUUAUAGUAAGAAAAGUUUCAGUCAUACAAGAAGAUAACCUAACCAAAAUAUCUGUACCUCAAAAGUGAAACAAGAUAGAUACAUGUUUUAAUUUAUUUCUAUUAAAACUGUCUGCACUAAUGGAUUCCAGCAGGCUACUUAGACUUGAAACUCAUUUUCAAAUAGAGAAUCAUAUAAAUAAGAACGUUCAACGUUCUCUCAUUUCACAGUAGGACAGAAUUCUUACCAAGCCUGCUAUGCUGUUCUCCAGGUGCCCGGCAAGACAAGAGUCUAAUGUGUUAUUCUACAAGGCUUUAAGGACCAGAGGUAUCAAUGCACUAAAAAGCAAGGAGA
Molecule: long non-coding RNA, 1622 nt
Filed under: Strigops habroptila (Kakapo)
Lineage: Eukaryota; Metazoa; Chordata; Aves; Psittaciformes; Psittacidae
Description: lncRNA (ENSSHBG00005017882.1)
Source: RNAcentral